CUGGGUUAAUAUAUUAUGAAGACCUUAACUCGGAGUCCUGAAAACAAAAGAACUUUGCAUCGGAGUCUAGUAAUUCAAACAAAAGGAGCACAUGGUGUUUCCACUCUCCAGUCCCAAAGAAACGAUGUGGACUUUUUGUGUAUGCCCGGUAACGUCGUAUGGAAUUUCUACUGCGCUCAUUUUCAAAUUAAUAGAUGUAGCUGACUAAUUAGAAGAAGAAAAAAAAGAUGCUGACGUACGGUAGUGUGAUCCAGGGGUUCAUUUUGCUUCUUGACACAAACUUGAGUCUUUUUCUUUAUUAUUACCCCGAAACACCUUCCUACCUAUACUUUGGUUAACUCAGGAAGACACUGACUCUACCAAACUACAUGUAAGCAAACACUAGUUGCACUACAUAAACCGUUGGUUGAGAAGAGUAGACGAAAAGGGACCCAGUCCAGUAUUCUCCUCUAGAAGAUUAGGUCGCUGUAGCCAUGAUUGUGAGUAGUGACUAAGGUUUUUCCAGUGGGCGAUGCAAGACCGGAAGACACUAUAGUUGAAGGUGUGUGUAUAUAUAUAUGAGGUGACCCUGUUAAGCCUCGACUUACAAUUUAGAAAGAACAAGGAGGAAGAAAGCAGGUGACACCUUUGCGGAAGGCACACCAAGAAGAUGGCAGUGCCGGUUUACAGCAUCACAAGGGCAGAAAUCGAGGAGUUCUGGAGGAGAAAGGAGAUGGAAGAAAAGGAGCAGCGCCUUACUGCCGAGAAGGAGGCUGCAAGAAUCAAAGUCAAGACACUCAUGGUCAGUUCUUCUUGUUGAUCCACUUGUAUUGUUGCGUUUAUCAAUCACUAUCUCGACUUCUGAUCUCUUUAAUUUACUAGCUCAAGUUCAGUAUGACAUUUAGCAUAUAUAGCAGAUAAAUCGAAGCGAGUAAACAAAAACUGAUCUUUAGCAUGAUCUUGGAAUUCAAAUCCGAAAGAAAAAAAAAUACCGUGACUUGGUGUGUCUGAAUUGUUUGAAAAAGCAGAUCGAGG
RNAcentral lists this long non-coding RNA (1014 nucleotides) under Oryza brachyantha (malo sina). RNAcentral's name for it is "long non-coding RNA (OBRA_LNC001236)". The record is from RNAcentral. Lineage: Eukaryota; Viridiplantae; Streptophyta; Magnoliopsida; Poales; Poaceae.